UGCAGUCGAGCGAGAUGUUAGCGCAUGAACCUUCGGGGGAUUAUGCUAACGGACAGCGGCGGACGGGUGAGUAACGCGUAGGCAACCUGCCCCUGACAGAGGGAUAGCCAUUGGAAACGAUGAUUAAAACCUCAUGACACCGUAGAAGCACAUGCUUCAUCGGUCAAAGAUUUAUCGGUCAGGGAUGGGCCUGCGUCUGAUUAACUAGUUGGUGAGGUAACGGCUCACCAAGGUGACGAUCAGUAGCCGACCUGAGAGGGUGAUCGGCCACAUUGGAACUGAGACACGGUCCAAACUUCUACGGAAGGCAGCAGUAGGGAAUCUUGCACAAUGGGCGAAAGCCUGAUGCAGCAACGCCGCGUGAAGGAUGAAGGCCUUCGGGUUGUAAACUUCUGUUCUAAGGGAAGAAACAAAUGACGGUACCUUAGGAGCAAGCCCCGGCUAACUACGUGCCAGCAGCCGCGGUAAUACGUAGGGGGCAAGCGUUAUCCGGAAUUAUUGGGCGUAAAGAGUGCGUAGGUGGUUACCUAAGCGCAAGGUUUAAUUUAGAGGCUCAACCUCUACUUGCCUUGCGAACUGGGCUACUUGAGUGCAGGAGGGGAAAGCGGAAUUCCUAGUGUAGCGGUGAAAUGCGUAGAUAUUAGGAGGAACACCAGCGGCGAAGGCGGCUUUCUGGACUGUAACUGACACUGAGGCACGAAAGCGUGGGUAGCAAACAGGAUUAGAUACCCUGGUAGUCCA
RNAcentral lists this ribosomal RNA (741 nucleotides) under Mogibacterium diversum. RNAcentral describes it as "bacterial SSU rRNA". It matches the Rfam family "Bacterial small subunit ribosomal RNA", at positions 56 to 797 of the family's 1533-position model. Lineage: Bacteria; Bacillati; Bacillota; Clostridia; Peptostreptococcales; Anaerovoracaceae. The record is from RNAcentral.